This 957-nucleotide ribosomal RNA is filed under the name Escherichia coli. RNAcentral describes it as "partial 23S ribosomal RNA". It matches the Rfam family "Bacterial large subunit ribosomal RNA", at positions 418 to 1374 of the family's 2925-position model. The record is from RNAcentral. Lineage: Bacteria; Pseudomonadati; Pseudomonadota; Gammaproteobacteria; Enterobacterales; Enterobacteriaceae.
CGGGACACGUGGUAUCCUGUCUGAAUAUGGGGGGACCAUCCUCCAAGGCUAAAUACUCCUGACUGACCGAUAGUGAACCAGUACCGUGAGGGAAAGGCGAAAAGAACCCCGGCGAGGGGAGUGAAAAAGAACCUGAAACCGUGUACGUACAAGCAGUGGGAGCACGCUUAGGCGUGUGACUGCGUACCUUUUGUAUAAUGGGUCAGCGACUUAUAUUCUGUAGCAAGGUUAACCGAAUAGGGGAGCCGAAGGGAAACCGAGUCUUAACUGGGCGUUAAGUUGCAGGGUAUAGACCCGAAACCCGGUGAUCUAGCCAUGGGCAGGUUGAAGGUUGGGUAACACUAACUGGAGGACCGAACCGACUAAUGUUGAAAAAUUAGCGGAUGACUUGUGGCUGGGGGUGAAAGGCCAAUCAAACCGGGAGAUAGCUGGUUCUCCCCGAAAGCUAUUUAGGUAGCGCCUCGUGAAUUCAUCUCCGGGGGUAGAGCACUGUUUCGGCAAGGGGGUCAUCCCGACUUACCAACCCGAUGCAAACUGCGAAUACCGGAGAAUGUUAUCACGGGAGACACACGGCGGGUGCUAACGUCCGUCGUGAAGAGGGAAACAACCCAGACCGCCAGCUAAGGUCCCAAAGUCAUGGUUAAGUGGGAAACGAUGUGGGAAGGCCCAGACAGCCAGGAUGUUGGCUUAGAAGCAGCCAUCAUUUAAAGAAAGCGUAAUAGCUCACUGGUCGAGUCGGCCUGCGCGGAAGAUGUAACGGGGCUAAACCAUGCACCGAAGCUGCGGCAGCGACGCUGAUGCGUUGUUGGGUAGGGGAGCGUUCUGUAAGCCUGCGAAGGUGUGCUGUGAGGCAUGCUGGAGGUAUCAGAAGUGCGAAUGCUGACAUAAGUAACGAUAAAGCGGGUGAAAAGCCCGCUCGCCGGAAGACCAAGGGUUCCUGUCCAACGUUAAUCGGGG